RNAcentral lists this ribosomal RNA (253 nucleotides) under uncultured bacterium. RNAcentral describes it as "partial 16S ribosomal RNA". It matches the Rfam family "Bacterial small subunit ribosomal RNA", at positions 524 to 776 of the family's 1533-position model. The record is from RNAcentral.
UACAGAGGAGCCAAGCGUUGUCCGGAUUGACUGGGCGUAAAGCGCACGCAGGCGGUCUGGCGCGUGGGGUGUGAAAUCUGGCCGCUUAACGGCCAGGCGCCAUCCCAUACGGCCGGACUGGAGCCUUGCAGAGGUCGGUGGAAUUGCCGGUGUAGUGGUGAAAUGCGCAGAUAUCAGGAAGAACACCAAUGGCGAAGGCAGCUCUCUGGGACGGUACUGACGCUGAGACGCGAAAGCGUGGGGAGCGAACAGG